GGAAUAUUGGUCAAUGGAGGCAACUCUGAACCAGCCAUGCCGCGUGCAGGAAGACGGCCCUAUGGGUUGUAAACUGCUUUUAUCUGGGAAUAAACCUUUUUACGUGUAAGAAGCUGAAUGUACCAGAAGAAUAAGGAUCGGCUAACUCCGUGCCAGCAGCCGCGGUAAUACGGAGGAUCCAAGCGUUAUCCGGAUUUAUUGGGUUUAAAGGGUGCGUAGGCGGCCUGUUAAGUCAGAGGUGAAAGACGGUAGCUCAACUAUCGCAGUGCCUUUGAUACUGACGGGCUUGAAUAAACUAGAGGUAGGCGGAAUGAGACAAGUAGCGGUGAAAUGCAUAGAUAUGUCUCAGAACACCGAUUGCGAAGGCAGCUUACUAUGGUUUUAUUGACGCUGAGGCACGAAAGCGUGGGGAUCAAACAGGAUUAGAUACCCCUG
RNAcentral lists this ribosomal RNA (435 nucleotides) under uncultured Pedobacter sp. RNAcentral's name for it is "bacterial SSU rRNA". It matches the Rfam family "Bacterial small subunit ribosomal RNA", at positions 358 to 789 of the family's 1533-position model. Lineage: Bacteria; Pseudomonadati; Bacteroidota; Sphingobacteriia; Sphingobacteriales; Sphingobacteriaceae. The record is from RNAcentral.